This 595-nucleotide ribosomal RNA is filed under the name uncultured beta proteobacterium. Its description in RNAcentral is "bacterial SSU rRNA". It matches the Rfam family "Bacterial small subunit ribosomal RNA", at positions 327 to 915 of the family's 1533-position model. The record is from RNAcentral. Lineage: Bacteria; Pseudomonadati; Pseudomonadota; Betaproteobacteria.
GUAGGAGUACUCCUACGGGAGGCAGCAGUGGGGAAUUUUGGACAAUGGGGGCAACCCUGAUCCAGCCAUGCCGCGUGCGGGAAGAAGGCCUUCGGGUUGUAAACCGCUUUUAGCCGGGACGAAAGCUGUACGGAUAACACCCGUGCAGGUUGACGGUACCGGCGGAAUAAGCACCGGCUAACUACGUGCCAGCAGCCGCGGUAAUACGUAGGGUGCGAGCGUUAAUCGGAAUUACUGGGCGUAAAGCGUGCGCAGGCGGUUCGUUAUGUCGGCGGUGAAAGCCCCGGGCUCAACCUGGGAAUGGCCGUUGAAACUGGCGAACUGGAGUGUGGCAGAGGGGGGUGGAAUUCCGCGUGUAGCAGUGAAAUGCGUAGAGAUGCGGAGGAACACCGAUGGCGAAGGCAGCCCCCUGGGCUGACACUGACGCUCAGGCACGAAAGCGUGGGGAGCAAACAGGAUUAGAUACCCUGGUAGUCCACGCCGUAAACGAUGAGUGCUAGUUGUCGGCAUGCAUGCAUGUCGGUGACGCAGCUAACGCAUUAAGCACUCCGCCUGGGGAGUACGGUCGCAAGAUUAAAACUCAAAGGAAUUGACG